This 492-nucleotide ribosomal RNA is filed under the name uncultured bacterium. Its description in RNAcentral is "partial 16S ribosomal RNA". It matches the Rfam family "Bacterial small subunit ribosomal RNA", at positions 29 to 507 of the family's 1533-position model. The record is from RNAcentral.
AGUGAACGCUGGCGGUAGGCCUAACACAUGCAAGUCGAACGGCAGCACAGUAAGAGCUUGCUCUUACGGGUGGCGAGUGGCGGACGGGUGAGGAAUACAUCGGAAUCUACUUUUUCGUGGGGGAUAACGUAGGGAAACUUACGCUAAUACCGCAUACGACCUACGGGUGAAAGCAGGGGAUCUUCGGACCUUGCGCGAUUGAAUGAGCCGAUGUCGGAUUAGCUAGUUGGCGGGGGAAAGGCCCACCAAGGCGACGAUCCGUAGCUGGUCUGAGAGGAUGAUCGGCCACACUGGAACUGAGACACGUUCCAGACUCCUACGGGAGGCCGCAGUGGGGAAUAUUGGGCAAUGGGCGCAAGCCUGAUCCAGCCAUACCGCGUGGGUGAAGAAGGCCUUCGGGUUGUAAAGCCCUUUUGUUGGGAAAGAAAAGCAGCAGGUUAAUACCCCGCUGUUCUGACGGUACCCAAAGAAUAAGCACCGGCUAACUUCGUG